AUACGGAAGGUCCGGGCGUUAUCCGGAUUUAUUGGGUUUAAAGGGAGCGCAGGCGGAGAUGCAAGCGUGACGUCAAAUUUCGGGGCUCAACCCCGUCUCGCGUCGCGAACUGCGUCCCUUGGUUGCGGGAAGGGGAGGCGGAACUCGUGGUGUAGCGGUGAAAUGCAUAGAUAUCACGAAGAACUCCGAUCGCGAAGGCAGCCUUCCGGCCCGUCAACGACGCUCAUGCUCGAAGUUGCGGGUAUCAAACAGGAUUAGAUACCCUGGUAGUCCGCACAGUAAACGAUGGACACCCGCGGUUUGGCCUGUAUGGCUGAGCCGCCAAGCGAAAGCGUUAAGUGUCCCACCUGGGGAGUACGGCGGCAACGGUGAAACUCAAAUGAAUUGACGGGG
RNAcentral lists this ribosomal RNA (393 nucleotides) under uncultured bacterium. RNAcentral describes it as "partial 16S ribosomal RNA". It matches the Rfam family "Bacterial small subunit ribosomal RNA", at positions 523 to 918 of the family's 1533-position model. The record is from RNAcentral.